Molecule: long non-coding RNA, 1346 nt
Filed under: Homo sapiens (human)
Lineage: Eukaryota; Metazoa; Chordata; Mammalia; Primates; Hominidae
Description: non-protein coding LINC02541:41
Source: RNAcentral
AGAAGCCAGGAGGAGUUAGGAACAGACUAUAAGAAAUGGUUGGUCUGGAGGAAAAAGGGUAAAACUUAUGAGCCAUUCACUGAUGUAUUGGUAAGAGGACAGGAGUCCUGGGGAAAGACUGCCUCAUUUACACUCCAAAGACUUGGGUUCUGAUCUCCAUGUCGUGGCUUAUCAUAGUGUAAGCCAGUUAUGUACCUCUAGAAAUGGAAGUUUCUGCUGUUUAUAAACUGGAAAUAAUGAUACAUGUCCUGACUCCUAUUGGGUUGUUGCAAAGGAAUCAAUUGAAAUAAGACAAGACUUUCUGAAGGCACUUUGCCAACUUUCAGAACUGUAAAGAUUAAGGGACUGCUACUAUGUGCUGCUCAGGAAAUAACAGGCACCUGGGAAAACCCACGAAGUAAGGUUUUGUAAGAAGUUGCUCUGCUCCCUGGGAGAAAACGCGGAGCUCAACACUGCCAAGAGGAACAAGUCUGGGAAAUUACGACAUGAGGGCCCUUGUGAAUUGAUGAAUAUGAAGACACUAAGAAAGCAGAAAUAGAACUGAGAAGAAUGAAAUAACUGUCUCUACCUUUCUCGAAUUGUCUAAUAUGGAAAGAAUGAAAGACAGCUAAUAAGCAACUCUCUGCAAGAAGACAUAUGGCUUAGGUUCUGCUGAGCUAUUGGUGAUUUGAUUCCAUGCAUAUGUAUUCACUACUGAAUCUACUUGGAGAGAGUCAAACACAGAAUCCCUUUGAAUUUAAUGGCCAUUCCAGGUGAUUUGAACAGCCAAAUAAGAAACAGGUCCUCUUCAAUGUACAAUCUGCCAAGUAUGAAGUCUGAAUGACCAUCAUUAUUAUGUAUUUAAUGUGCAUAGAAAAUCUAUCUGCAACCUUCCAGAGUGUACCAGAAGUUUGGAAUGUACAUUAUUAUUGGCUCCAUCUCAAACCACUCAUAAAUCAAAGAAAAUAGCAGUUCCAGAGGAAUCAUCAUAGAGGCUUCUAGGCCCCCAUGCUGUGUGAACCUGGUGAGAAAGGGAAGUCUGCUCUCACUGGACACUGGAACUGUUUGUCUCUGUCUCUGCUGUACUUUCCCUGCCUCUACCUCACUUAGUAAAGAAAUCAUCUUUGCUUGAUAACUAAAACAACCAAUAAGGCUGAGAAAGGGGAAAACCCACAUCUGGAUUUAAAUACAAGGUAUUGGGCCAGCUGCUGGGGAUUAAACUUUGAACAAAACAGAUAGAAUCUAUGUCCUCAUGGGAGUGGCUAAUGGGAGAGUCGGAACAAAAAAAUAGCCAAGGAUAAUCCAGCAAAUGAUUUGGUGAAUGCUAUCAAAGAGAGAAAUACACAUGCUCUGGGAACACCAAACAG